Molecule: RNase P RNA, 229 nt
Filed under: Microcaldota archaeon
Lineage: Archaea; Nanobdellati; Microcaldota
Description: Candidatus Micrarchaeota archaeon (hot springs metagenome) RNase P RNA component
Rfam family: Archaeal RNase P
About the family: Ribonuclease P (RNase P) is a ubiquitous endoribonuclease, found in archaea, bacteria and eukarya as well as chloroplasts and mitochondria.
Source: RNAcentral
GUGUGAGGUGCAGGCAGCUGACGGACAUGAUGUCUGAGGAAGUUCUGUCCGCCUGAGGAUGUUGCUCUUAAGGAGCUGGAAACGUAACAGAAACGAUACCGUCCUGGCAUUGCCUGGUCGGAUGAAACGGACGUUUCCCUUCCAAAGAAGGCGCAAGGCGCUAUGCCGCAUAGUAUAAUGCUGCCAACGCUUACAGCGUUUUACAGAAGACAGACUAUGCCCCUCACUC